UAGGGAAUCUUCCACAAUGGACGCAAGUCUGAUGGAGCAACGCCGCGUGAGUGAAGAAGGUUUUCGGACCGUAAAGCUCUGUUGUUGGUGAAGAAGGAUAGAGGUAGUAACUGGCCUUUAUUUGACGGUAAUCAACCAGAAAGUCACGGCUAACUACGUGCCAGCAGCCGCGGUAAAUCGUAGGUGGCAAGCGUUGUCCGGAUUUAUUGGGCGUAAA
Molecule: ribosomal RNA, 217 nt
Filed under: uncultured bacterium
Lineage: Bacteria
Description: partial 16S ribosomal RNA
Rfam family: Bacterial small subunit ribosomal RNA
Source: RNAcentral